UUUUUCAAUUCUUUGUCGCUUUCCCGAGGCCAAUGUCUAUUCCUCUUUUUUUCCCAGGUGGUGAGUGCAUCACAGGCCGGUGACAUACAGUUCCUUGACCUUAGAACAUCAAGGGACACAUACCUGACGAUUGAUGCUCACAGGGGUUCACUCACAGCCUUAGCUGUUCACAGACACGCUCCAAUAAUCGCGAGCGGAUCUGCAAAACAGCUAAUUAAAGUGUUUAGCCUUGAAGGAGAACAACUAGGAAGAAUCCUCUACUACCCUUCCUUCAUGGGUCAGAAGAUUGGUUCAGUGAGUUGCCUCGCUUUUCAUCCCUACCAGGUUCUUCUUGCAGCUGGAACUGUGGACUCGCUCGUCUCCGUAUACACCCACGACAACUCGCAAGCACGAUGAGUCGCACACACCAUAAGUGGAAAAAAAACGUUUCUCUUGUGAUUAAAACAUGAGCAAAAAAAAACAAGUCUAGGCCGUGUUGGGGUAAAGUGGGUGUGGUUUAUAUUUAUUCGUUAAGCCUCCGUGGAAGUGUUAGAAAGAAGAUCGCAAGUUAACAGCUAAUGAAGGAGGAGGCUUCACCAAAUAAGUUACUAUGCAAUGCACAUAAAUUGUGUCUGUAAAUAGUUUCUCUGCUUUGCUGUUCUUUAUAAUUAUGUUUCCUUGUGUGAUUUUCUUUUAUUUUUCAUUAUUGGUUUCAUGUGUAAAAAAAUGGUUAAAGUAAUGGUGAAAACAAGUUUGCAUUUUCAUGAUAUUUAUUUCAAAGGAUAGUAGUAUACUGAAAAGUUGUGCGCUGUUUUGUUUAGGUUACACUUGAAUAUCAGUUGGAAUUUGGAAAUAUGCAUAAUAAUCAAUAAAAAUAUUCAAAUGAUCGUGAAUUUGCUAGAAACGAAUUGAAGAAGCUACGCAUGGAGUACUGCCGAGUACUUAGGCAUGAGUGACGAUAACCCCACUUUGAUCCACAACCAUAGCAAAACUCAAAACCACACCUACAAAAAUAAUCCAAUGAGCAGAAUAAUAAACAAAUUAAAAACAUGCAUAAUAUAAUGAUUUGAUGGCGAUGAAGGUGACUGACCUGCAACUUAUAUGCAUACAACCAACGAGUUUCUCAACGUAGAAGUUGCAACUAGGACACCUCCUCCACUGCUUCUUCUUAGCCAACUGAAUCAACAAUUUAUCAACAUUCUUCUUCUUUUCUUUCCGUUUGGCUAUGUUUAAUAUUCCAUUCAAAAUUACGCGACACUUCUUCUUAGUCUUACCAACUCUCUGAAACUCCUUGCACCCAAUCCCUUCGUGCCAUGUCACUUUACACUGAGCGCAAAACAGUCUGUGACAAGACGGACACUCCGUCAUCGUCACUUUAUCAUCACCACCCUCCACCACCAGCAUCGCCGAGCAGCUUUCGAACGGACAGUAGACUUUCCCCGACGACAUGAACAACGACUCGCACAAAGCUUUGUCCCAUCUCUCCAUCAAAUUCCUUGGAAUCAGAUCUCGACAUGUGUUUGGCUCUAUCAGGUGAGUGCAAUCCACGUCAGGACAAUUGAUUCCAGCUACGUUUUCUCCUAUCCUGGUCUCUACGUAACGGACCGUGCACUCGGUGCAAUAGAAGUGAGUGCAGUUACCUCGGAACAUGUCGGAAGGAGACUUCUCGUCCAUACAUAUCAUACAUAACAUGCUAGAUGGUUCUACGGGUUCGUUCCCUGCUUUUAUCUCCGGUUCUUCUUCCUCGUGCUUGAUACGCAAGGUAACAUGCCUUUGGGGUUGGGGAUGAUGGUUAAUCUCCUCCUCCAUCGAAGUGACCAAAGAAGAAACCAGAGCUUCUUGGAGAUGCAGAUUAUUGACAUAGUUUACGUCGCAGGGUGGGAAAACUCUGUUGUAAUCGUAUAAUUCAUCCUGGUCGUAGUAAUAAUCUACCAUCCUUGUGCGUGACGUUGAUGAUGAUGAUGAAGAGAAGCAGGUUCCCAUUAAAUCACUGUCUUUUGGUUUCUCCUCUUUUGUCUUGACUUUGAGUUAGGUCUACGAAUUUAGGUUUAAUACUAGCUUAUUUUAGAAGGUAUCUGCAAAAUUAGAUGAAUGGAAAUUUUCUUUCGAUUUUUGUAAUUGAUCUUUUUUUACACGAGCAUAUAUUUUUGCGUAUAACUGAAUAUGUUAACAUCUGCGUUUAAGAACUGUUUGGAAACAAUAAUAACAGUAUAAUUAUGAAUUGUUUGGAAACAUAGAUAUAACAAUAUAAAAAAAGAAGUAUAUUAUCCUUUUAGUAAUUUUCUUUAAAAAUAUACAAUCAAAUAAUUUUAUAUAUUGUUAGCAUCAAUGAUUUUUCAAAUGACCAUAUAUCUUAACAAAAUGGUUUUAAAAUAAAAAAUUAAUUAAAUUUACCUGUAAUUAAUUAUACAUAUAUAAAUUAAUACAAAUAAUAUGAUAUGAAAUAAGUGUAAAAUUAUUUUUAGCAUUUCAUAAAUAUUAAAACAUAUCAAUUUCCCUGUCCAAAUAUAAGUACUCCAUUUAUAUUAUAUAUAAUUACUAUUUUGAAACUGUAAAUAUUAAUGUACAUGAAUAAUAUAAAACUGACAUAAAAAUAAAUAAAACUUUAAAUAAUUAAUUAUUUAUUAAAUUACUAAUAAUUUUUUAUGUGCUAAAAAUAAAUUAAGUACAAAACAACAAUCAAUAAUGAUAAAAUAGUAUAUAAUAAGAAACAAGACAACUUUCAAUAUAAAUAAUAAUCCACCACUAAUACAACAAUUUUUAUGUUUUUAAAAGUUAAAACAAAUAUCUACACGGGUGUGCGGAUCAAAAUCUAGUUGCAUAUUAAAAGUUUACCUUUUCUUGUUUAUGAAGUUAUAUAACAUUUUCAUUAGUUAUGAAAAUAAUGUUGAUAUUACUGAUUUGGUUAAUGGUUCGUUAAUAUAUUAAAUAUAGAGAUUUUCAACAUUGUUGAAAUAAAGUAACUUUUUAUAAAACGAUUCAUCAAAUUAAAUUAUUUGUAUCUUUAUAAGACACAUAUAAAAUUAUUGGUUUUAUGGGUUGUAGUUAUUGUAAUAAUUCUCGUAGUGUAUUACUCCAUCUCUUUUUAAUGCUUGACUUUUACAAAAAAUUAAUUGUUCCAAAUUAGAUAAUGUUUUUAAGUUUCAAUGUAAAAUUAAUUUAUUUUUAUGUUAUAUAUUUGUUUAUUAUAUGUAAUUUAUUUUAUCAUUUGUUGGAUUGUGGUUAGAUAAACUAUUAGUGAUAUUUUUUACAAAAAUAUAUAAGAAAUUAAAAAUACUUCUUAAUCUAUAUAUGUGCAAUAAUAAACCGCCAACUAUUAAAAAAGAGGGAUAUAAAAUAAGAAUUCAGUAUCAAAAAUAUUCUCAUUAAUAAAUAUGGACGAAAGAUCAUAUAACUAAUGGGAUUGCACAUAUAAAAAAAGGACUAUCUGCAAAAUUGAUUCAAAACUCAAAAUCAAUUACAAAACUAAUAUAUGAUUUUUUGGAACUUUCAUUUGUUCUAUUCAACCCAAAAAUUUGGAUUAUUCACAAAAAUACCAAAUCCUUUGUGUUUAAUAGAUCCUCUGCUGUUAUAGUUGAUCUUGAAGAACAUGUAAGCUUAUUAUAUACUAUUAACGAGUGUUAGUAAGCUUAUUUCAUUUGAACAUUCAUUGGUUGUCAAUGUGGUCGUGGGAUCCUUAUCCUGAUCUUCGUGAUCUUAUCUUCAUUGAAGAUCCCCAAGUUAUCAGUUUCCCUUCAGGCGGUCGGAUUAUUGUGUCGAGUGGUGGUUCUAUUUUUCUUCAAAACCAUUCUCCUAUGUCUGCCCCAGAAGGUUGUGAAGUUAUGGUUCCGGUUGGAGGCGUAGCUGAAUUCCACAUCUCGGCCGAUGAUAUCGACACAUUACUACUCUGACUAUGUUUCGCAUCCUCUGAGGAUCAUACCUUCUUACUUUUGCAUAUUUUAAUAUCAUAAUCGUUUUCUUCAGACCUAUGUUUGUUUGAAGUCGGUUAAUAUUUUUACUUAGGCAUAUGUUUGUUUGAAGUCGGUUAAUAUUUUUACUUAGACCUUCAAAGUUUUAUUAUAUUAAGGAGAAAACAACCAUAAAAACUUUGAACUCAUGUUUGAACCAAAAAAAAUACUCCAACUUUCAAAUAUUGGUCAUUUUAACUUUUAUUUUUUUUGUUGACUAUGACAUUUUAAAAACCUAGAAAGUCAAUUGUUAAACCCGUAAACAUUUGUUAACUCACUAAACAACGUCGUUUUAAAAACUGAUUAAACAUUAAUGAAAUAGUGUCGUUUUAGAUCUGUAAGCAUUUAAAUCAUCUUCUCUUUCGCGAACCUAAAUUUUCUAAUUCUCUAAUCUUUCAAUCUUCCAAUCUCCAAAACCCAGAGCCAUUGACAAUGCAAAGGAUGUACUUUGGGUUCAUCGUAGUGAGAGAUCUUAAGUGGAAAGUGUUAGGAAAUCUAUGAUUGAACAACAAAAUCAUGUCGGUGAAGAAUGUGAUAAUGAAAAUGAUAGUGAGACUAAUGAGAAUGAUAAUGAGGCUGAGAAUAAUGGUAGUUGUGACGAAAAAGAUUUUUUAAGUAGUAUUUAAAAUGACGUCGUUUAUCAAGUUAACAGACGUUUACGGUUUAAUAGUUGACUUUUCAAGUUUCUAAAAUGGUCCAGUCAACAAAAAAUGAAAUUAAAAAUGGCCAACAUUUAAAAUUGGGGUAUAUUUUUGGCUCAAACAAAAGUUGAAGGGUUUUUCUGGCUUUGAUUUGAAAGUUCGGGAUUUUAUUGACAGUUUUCUCGUUUUAUGGGUUGUAGUUAUUGUAAUAAUUCUCGUAGCGUAUUACUCUAUCUGUUUUUAAUACCUGGCUUUUACAAAAAAAAAUCGUUUUUCCAAAUUAGAUAAUGUUUUUAAUUUUUACUGCAAAAUUAAUUUAAUUUUUAUGUUAUAUAAUUCUUUAUACUAUGUAGUUUAUUUUAUCAUUUGUUAAAUUGUGGUCAGAUAAACUAUUAGAGAUAUUUUUUAAAAAAUAUAUAAGAAAUUAAAAAACUUCUUAAUCUAUAUGUGUGCAAUAAUAAAACGCCAACUAUUACAAAAAAGAGGAAUAUAAAAUAAGAAUUCAGUAUCAAAAAUAUUCUCAUUAUACAAUAAAUGGGGUUGCACAUACGAGUAUUUGGGGAAAAAAAUCUGAAAUCACAAAUUCACAAUUGGUCUCCGUCUGUCUCUCGAGUCUCGACUUGCCUCUCCGCCUCGUCUCUCCAUCUCUCGAGCAGUGUCUCUCCGCCUCGUCUCUUCAUCUCUCGAGCAGUGUCUCUCCAUCUCGACUCUCCUCUCCGUCUCUCACUUUGUCUUCGAUUCGCUUCAGGUCGCUUCAUCUCGACUCUCCUCUCUUUGCGAUUUGAUUGCUUUUAGGUUGAUGGGUCAAUUUGAUUGCUUUUAGGUUGAUGGGUAUGCAUGUUAUGUUUAACUCUGUCCAUUGUUAAUGAUGAUUCUCGUUUGUUUGUAAGUUUAGUUUAUGUAAAUGUCUUUAAUCUCUUUUGUUCAGAUGGAUGGUGAUACGUUGAACCUUAAUGAUGAUGAUUAUUUGAGCGAUUCUAGAUUUGAUGGGUUUGCGAUUCUAGAUUCAACGUUUACUCAUGAUUUCUCUAUUGAACGUUUACUCAUGAGUUUGUGUAAAUGUGUUGUCUCAUUUGUCUCUAAUGGUUUUCUUUAAUCUUUUUUGUUCAGAUGGAUGAUGAAACUUUGAACCUAUAUGAUGAUGAUGAUGAUGAUGACUAUUUGAGUGGUAAUGAGAUGAUGGAUCAGAAUGAAGAUGGUUAUGAUUCUGUACAAGAUGAUUCUACAAGUGCGGCUGGGAAUAGAGGAAGGCGGAGACGUAACAAGCGGAGGCAUUCAAAGUGUUGGAAGCAUUUUGAAAUUGUAGGAGAUAAAUUGCCUGAUGGGACUACUAAAGUUAUUUGCAAGCAUUGUGAGUAUUCCUAUUUCAUAGAUCUAAGCAAUGGGACUAAUACUUUACUGCAUCAUAGUAGAGUUUGAUCAAAGAAUCCUGGAAGCACACCUAGAAGUAGGAAGUUUGAUAUAAUGGUCUUCCGUGAGAUGAUUGCUGGUGCUAUUGUUGAGCACGAUCUUGCAUACUCAUUUGUUGAGUUUAGAAGAAUUAGAGAAGCUUUUGAGUAUGCAAAUCCUAGUAUUGAGUUUUGGUGUAGAAACACUGUUGUGUCUGAUGUUCAUAAGAUAUAUGAGAAUGAGAAAGCUGGUCUUAGGAAGGUUUUGAGUGAAGUUCCUGGGAGGAUCUGUUUUACUACUGAUUUGUGGAGGGCAAUCACUGUGGAGGGGUAUUUACGUCUGACAGCUCAUUACGUUGAUAAUUGGAAGCUAAAGGCGAAGAUACUGUCAUUCUGCGCUUUUCCCCCACCUCAUACUGGUUAUAGUAUUGCUAUGAAGGUGAUGGAGUUAGUGAAAGAAUGGGGAUUAGAGAAGAAAGUGUUUACAGUGACUGUCGACAAUGCUUCUUCAAACGACAAUAUGCAAGGGGUUCUAAAGACACAACUUCGCAGAGCUUUGGUGUGUAAUGGCGAGUUUCUACAUGUAAGAUGCGCAGCACACGGGAAGGAACUCUUCUCAAUGGCUUUGACAAUCAUGAUUUUCCUGACAAAGGAAUUUCAAAGCUCUGCCUCGUCAAUGAACUUGACGACUCUCUGCUCCUUGUUGCGUCAUGUAAUAUUCACAACUCUUUCCACUGUUUGCAAAUUGAUUGAUUAUAGCUGCUGAGAAAUGGCAGUUAUGUCUUACACUAGCUUUUGAAAUUAUCUUUAGGUGAUGGGUCUGUCCGGAUAUGGAAAAACUAUGCAACAAAGGGUAAACAGAAGCUUGUAACGGGGUUUUCUUCAAUCCAGGGUCACAAGCCCGGUGCACGUGACUUGAACGCUGUUGUGGACUGGCAACAACAGUCUGGCUGUCUGGUGUGUGAUUGCUUAUUCUUUUUGUUUUCCAAGUUACCUUGGCCUUUUUAUUGUUAUUUAUGGAUUAAUGGUAUUUAACAGUAUGCUUCUGGGGAGGUGUCAACAGUCUCACUUUGGGACCUUGAGAAAGAACAACUUAUCAGAUCUAUUCCCUCUGAGUCAGAAUGCGGAGUUACAGCACUUGUAAGUCGACAUGAAUAGCCUUCUUCUUUAUAACAUAAAAACCACGCUAGAAUAUCGGGAUUUAUAUGAUCGAUUAAACGCUUUAGAAUGUCGUGAUUUGUAGUCGGCUUCUCAAGUGCACGGGAGUCAACUUGUUGCUGGUUUCGCUGAUGGAUCUUUGAGACUCUAUGAUGUUCGGUCGCCUGAACCGUAAGUUACUUUGUUCAUUUACAAAUUCACACAAGAGAACUCCAAUUAUAACGAAAAUUAGAACACCAAACUUUGUUUGGAUACAUCACCUAAUAUCAUUUUUUUUCAUAUUGAAGGCUUGUCCUUGCGACACGGCCUCAUCAGAAAGUUGAAAGAGUGGUUGGACUCAGUUUUCAGCCUGGACUUGAUCCCUCAAAGGUUUGAACUGUCAGGUGUUUUUCAAUUCUUUGUCGCUUUCCCGAGGCCAAUGUCUAUUCCUCUUUUUUUCCCAGGUGGUGAGUGCAUCACAGGCCGGUGACAUACAGUUCCUUGACCUUAGAACAUCAAGGGACACAUACCUGACGAUUGAUGCUCACAGGGGUUCACUCACAGCCUUAGCUGUUCACAGACACGCUCCAAUAAUCGCGAGCGGAUCUGCAAAACAGCUAAUUAAAGUGUUUAGCCUUGAAGGAGAACAACUAGGAAGAAUCCUCUACUACCCUUCCUUCAUGGGUCAGAAGAUUGGUUCAGUGAGUUGCCUCGCUUUUCAUCCCUACCAGGUUCUUCUUGCAGCUGGAACUGUGGACUCGCUCGUCUCCGUAUACACCCACGACAACUCGCAAGCACGAUGAGUCGCACACACCAUAAGUGGAAAAAAAACGUUUCUCUUGUGAUUAAAACAUGAGCAAAAAAAAACAAGUCUAGGCCGUGUUGGGGUAAAGUGGGUGUGGUUUAUAUUUAUUCGUUAAGCCUCCGUGGAAGUGUUAGAAAGAAGAUCGCAAGUUAACAGCUAAUGAAGGAGGAGGCUUCACCAAAUAAGUUACUAUGCAAUGCACAUAAAUUGUGUCUGUAAAUAGUUUCUCUGCUUUGCUGUUCUUUAUAAUUAUGUUUCCUUGUGUGAUUUUCUUUUAUUUUUCAUUAUUGGUUUCAUGUGUAAAAAAAUGGUUAAAGUAAUGGUGAAAACAAGUUUGCAUUUUCAUGAUAUUUAUUUCAAAGGAUAGUAGUAUACUGAAAAGUUGUGCGCUGUUUUGUUUAGGUUACACUUGAAUAUCAGUUGGAAUUUGGAAAUAUGCAUAAUAAUCAAUAAAAAUAUUCAAAUGAUCGUGAAUUUGCUAGAAACGAAUUGAAGAAGCUACGCAUGGAGUACUGCCGAGUACUUAGGCAUGAGUGACGAUAACCCCACUUUGAUCCAC
Molecule: long non-coding RNA, 8456 nt
Filed under: Brassica napus (rape)
Lineage: Eukaryota; Viridiplantae; Streptophyta; Magnoliopsida; Brassicales; Brassicaceae
Description: long non-coding RNA (BNAP_LNC017990)
Source: RNAcentral